Molecule: ribosomal RNA, 468 nt
Filed under: uncultured bacterium
Lineage: Bacteria
Description: partial 16S ribosomal RNA
Rfam family: Bacterial small subunit ribosomal RNA
Source: RNAcentral
GACGAACGCUGGCGGCGUGCUUAACACAUGCAAGUCGAACGGAAAGGCCCUGCUUUUGUGGGGUGCUCGAGUGGCGAACGGGUGAGUAACACGUGAGUAACCUGCCCUCGACUUUGGGAUAACUUCAGGAAACUGGGGCUAAUACCGGAUAGGAGCUCCUGCUGCAUGGUGGGGGUUGGAAAGUUUCGGCGGUUGGGGAUGGACUCGCGGCUUAUCAGCUUGUUGGUGGGGUAGUGGCGUACCAAGGCUUUGACGGGUAGCCGGCCUGAGAGGGUGACCAGCCACAUUGGGACGGAGAUACGGCCCAGACUCCUACGGGAGGCAGCAGUGGGGAAGAUUGCACAAUGGGCGGAAGCCUGAUGCAGCAACGCCGCGUGCGGGAUGACGGCCUUCGGGUUGUAAACCGCUUUCGCCUAUGACGAAGCGUGAGUGACGGUAAUGGGUAAAGAAGCACCGGCUAACUACGUG